Molecule: ribosomal RNA, 274 nt
Filed under: uncultured bacterium
Lineage: Bacteria
Description: partial 16S ribosomal RNA
Rfam family: Bacterial small subunit ribosomal RNA
Source: RNAcentral
AGACGAACCGUACGAACGUUAUUCGGAAUCACGGGGCUUAAAGAGUGCGUAGGCGGCCUAGUAAGUUGGGUGUGAAAUCCCACGGCUCAACCGUGGAACUGCGCUCAAUACUGCUAGGCUUGAGGGAGAUAGAGGUGAGCGGAACUAAUGGUGGAGCGGUGAAAUGCGUUGAUAUCAUUAGGAACACCGGUGGCGAAGGCGGCUCACUGGAUCUCUUCUGACGCUGAGACGCGAAAGCGUGGGUAGCAAACAGGAUUAGAAACCCCGGUAGUCC